RNAcentral lists this ribosomal RNA (315 nucleotides) under Triticum aestivum (bread wheat). RNAcentral's name for it is "partial small subunit ribosomal RNA". Lineage: Eukaryota; Viridiplantae; Streptophyta; Magnoliopsida; Poales; Poaceae. The record is from RNAcentral.
AUGGAGUCGUCCUUGGCGACGUUGAGGAGGAGGGAUCCAACGAAGGCAUCGCCGGCGCCGGUGGUGUCGACCGUGUUGACGGAGUACCCUGGCAGGGAGCCCUUGAAGUCCUUGGUGAAGUACCUGCACCCCUUCUCGCCGUCUGUGACGACGAGCAGCUUGAGGCCCUCGAACCAGAGGGAGAGGACGUUCUUCUCGUCGUGGGCGUCGCCCUGGGUGAGGAAGGCCACCUCCUCGUCGCUCACCUUGAUGAAGUCGGCCUCCUUCCAGAUGCUCAUGAUGCCGUCACGUGGGCGGAGCGGCAGGGCUCGGUGA